Molecule: ribosomal RNA, 497 nt
Filed under: uncultured bacterium
Lineage: Bacteria
Description: partial 16S ribosomal RNA
Rfam family: Bacterial small subunit ribosomal RNA
Source: RNAcentral
GAUGAACGCUGGCGGCGUGCCUAAUACAUGCAAGUCGAGCGAACGGACGAGAAGCUUGCUUUUCUGAUGUUAGCGGCGGACGGGUGAGUAACACGUGGAUAACCUACCUAUAAGACUGGGAUAACUUCGGGAAACCGGAGCUAAUACCGGAUAAUAUUUUGAACCGCAUGGUUCAAAAGUGAAAGACGGUCUUGCUGUCACUUAUAGAUGGAUCCGCGCUGCAUUAGCUAGUUGGUAAGGUAACGGCUUACCAAGGCAACGAUGCAUAGCCGACCUGAGAGGGUGAACGGCCACACUGGAACUGAGACACGGUCCAGACUCCUACGGGAGGCAGCAGUAGGGAAUCUUCCGCAAAGGGCGAAAGCCUGACGGAGCAACGCCGCGUGAGUGAUGAAGGUCUUCGGAUCGUAAAACUCUGUUAUUAGGGAAGAACAUAUGUGUAAGUAACUGUGCACAUCUUGACGGUACCUAAUCAGAAAGCCACGGCUAACUACGUG